This 253-nucleotide ribosomal RNA is filed under the name uncultured bacterium. RNAcentral describes it as "partial 16S ribosomal RNA". It matches the Rfam family "Bacterial small subunit ribosomal RNA", at positions 524 to 776 of the family's 1533-position model. The record is from RNAcentral.
UACGAAGGGUGCAAGCGUUACUCGGAAUUACUGGGCGUAAAGCGUGCGUAGGUGGUUUGUUAAGUCUGUUGUGAAAGCCCCGGGCUCAACCUGGGAAUGGCAAUGGAUACUGGCAAGCUAGAGUGCGGUAGAGGGUAGUGGAAUUCCCGGUGUAGCGGUGAAAUGCGUAGAGAUCGGGAGGAAGGGCGGUGGGGGAGGCGGCGGUCUGGAACGUUUCUGACACUGAGGCUCGAAAGCGUGGGGAGCAAACAGG